GGGCCAGCAGAGCCUGUGUGUACCAUGGUGGGAAAUAGAAACUUACACGAUGGUGAAGGCUGAGAGAUGGACAACAGCUCCUGCUCUGGCAGACCUGCACCCACAGGACAGAGCCAGUGCCACGAAGCCCCUGUGCCUGACAGAGGUACCAGUUUGUUGUCCAGUCUGGAGGUCCAUUUUCUCACUUACUGAAUACAAAGGCAAGUCAUGAUACAGAGCAGCAUUGACAGCCUUUCAGCCAGGGUGCAACCAAAGGGACAGAUUGCAAUUUACAGAUGGCCUGAUUUAGAGAACAAAUGACAUUUAUCCAGGCUAAUACUCCUCUGGAGUAUUAAGGCAUCUGCUGUGUUCCUAACCCAAGGAACAUCCUGUAUGUACCAAUACAGAUACACAAGGUUGACCUCCAAAUCGGGGCCUAGGCUGCCUUUGUUUUCCCAUUAUUUACAAAGUGCAAGACCUACUGCUCCCAUCUUCAUCAUUCUCCUACCCCCAAAGGUUUGGUAUUCCCCUGCAGAAGAGGAAAACCAGAAAAUUCUCCCUAGAACAGAUUUCUUAGGUACUUAGUUCAGAAAAUGUUUAAACUAUCUCCUUAGAAUUCUCCACUAGAACGACAACCAGAUCCACCAUUGUACCCAAACUCAUUUCAUGAACAAGAGCCCCUGAAUGAAGGGACAAUCCUUAAAAUACACCUACAUGCCCCAUCCAAAAUAUAAGCAAUCACUGAAAGUAGGUAGUAUGGUACCAUCUCUGUACUGUCACGGAAAUGGAAAGCUACACCUGAAGCUUCCUAUAUUUUCAGCAACUAACAUCAAAAUGGAUGGAUCUCAGCAUUUGCAGGAUGUACAAUGAAUUAAAAUCCAAAGGAAUCACAAAAGCAGAUUUAAGCGCUUCUCCCCGCCACCUCCCAUUUCCUAAUAACAGUAUUUCGUUUCCAAAGGCAACACCCUUCUUAAAUCUUUCAUAAGAAUGAGUUCCUACUUCCCCAUGUAACAAGCCCAAGGACAGCACCAACCUUAUGGAAAGGGAAGCUGCUGAGAAACCUCUGCAUCACAAAGAUAGGGCACAACUAGAAAUACUUAUCCAAAUAAAACUCAGAAUGGAGUAAUUGCAUCACCCAGACUUCUGGCAACAAACUUCAACAGGAAGUCUAGUAUCUUUCAGCUUUCUUCUCCUAGGAGAAAGAAUCAAGAGCACUCAGAUCUCACCUGAAGAAAGCAGGUAGACACCCGGUUUUAGUUAAUAUGACUUAAGCCUGGCAGUCUGGGAUUUAGAUGAUGCUACUUACUUACUACUGAUUUGGAAAAGUAAAAAUUAAAAACAAAGGUACAAGAAAUAGAUUACCAUGGGUAUUACUAUUGCCCCGAGCAAACCCUAUUUUCAGCCAACAGCUGCACAAUGCACUGAAAAGUUUACACACACACUUCGCUGUGCACAUACACAAAUCUCACACACACACACCCUCUUACUUUUCUACAGGCAGUUAUUAGCCUAAUUGUGCUUUGUUACGAAGCUCAGUCGAUAAUUCAAUGGGGAGAAGAGAUUACACAACCUUCUCUUCUCCCAGGCUUCCAGCUCCUCUGCCUCUGAGCUCUCCAGGCUACAGAUCAAGGCAGCCUAAAAAUUUCCCAUCAGAACUUCUUACAACCUCAGGUAAGAUUUCAACUAUUCUUAAAAAGAGCUCUAUCCAGCUUCAUCUGAUUGCUCUACUUUCUUGUCAUCAACUGAAUUUGCAGUUUAACUUACAUGUUCACUCACUUCCAAUGUGGCCUUUACUGAGGAAGCUCCCUGCCUCCUCUCAGCCCCACUCAAGUAACACAUUAUUUCUGGGACCUGUUGCCCUCCAAAAAGACAACUCCUACUCUCCAGUUUCUUACCACUUCUCCAUAAUUACAGCACUACAGAGGAGGUGCCAAAAUCAAAAGAACUAAUAAAACUACUCAAUUACCUCUACUUUACUGGAGAUCUCAUUUAUGUUUGACACACCAAAAAUUCCCAGAAGCCAAAAGUUACCCUCAAAGCCCUAUUCCAGACAGUUUAAAAUAUGUGUUAACACCCUAGCUGAAAAUAUUGCAGCAUGUCCUUCUUUUGUGCGGCAAGAAUUCUUAGGGUAGCUCAAAAAUUCCACCUCUUAACCAUCAACUGAAAUGUACAAUGCCCCAAAUAAUCACAAGUUAGUAAGGCUUAUAAAAACCAUAUUUGAGCACAUCCUUUGUAAAAUCAUCUAAUUUUAAACAUAUCAAUACUUGAAAAAAAAAAACUUUCCUUGUAUGUUUGCCCAGUAAUUAAUCUUAGUGCUAAAACAAAUACACAUUUUUAGUAUGAAUUCAUCUACCUUCACUUUCUUACUGCUUAAUAUUCCAUGUCUGCUAAACUUAAAGCUCAUUAGUAAGUAUUGCCUAUGUGUAGGUAUUUACUAACUAAAAUUAAGUCAUUCUUCAACCAUCAAGUUAAUCAUGUUGAGCUCCUGCACAGCCACCUUCUGGUUUUUCCAGUACUUAAUUCCUAUAGCUCUUCCCUGAGCCUUUCACAGUCUCCCAAACUAGAGCUUUCCAGGACUGUUUACACUAAUGCAAACAGAAACAAGACACACGUAUAUUUUAACUGCAUGUCAACCUUUCAUCAAACAACUUCCUUCAGCCAAGUACCAAAUAUGGAUGACUGUACAUGUAAUGUGUGUACUUUCCCAGCUUUAAUUCACUUUUUCCUUGCAUUUAGGUUCUGGACAUACACAGUAGGAACUUUGGCUAUUUCCUCCCAGCUGAGUUGCCUCAAAUCUGUGUUUUCAUGUAUUUUGCACAGCAAGGCAGACUGUUUUACAACAGUAAUUGAUGGAAACUUCAACUAGUUAUCUGUCAUCUCCAGAUUUCUUGGCUUGUACCUCAAGUAAUGUCUGAAGGUCCCAAUCCGCUACCCUGGAGGAAGGCCAGGGUAGGAGGAGCUGGUUUUGCUAAGCCUUGAUGGUGUUUGCUUACAACUGAAUAAAUUAGAGAUGCUGGCUGACAUCACAAUUUCUCUUGUUCGUGUUACUCCUUACACUUACAUACUGUGAAGAUUGUGAGACACUACACUUGUACCAGUAUCUGGCUCCUCCCAAGAGCUAAUUUGUCAGGAAGCCAGAAAUCACUUCCCAGACAGGACCCUGUUUCCUAAAAGAAGCAGGUCACUCACUAUCUGUUGUCCAGGACCCUGUUUCCUAAAAGAAGCAGGUCACUCACUAUCUGUUGUCCCCUACCCCAGCACACACAACCAAGAGCUCUCCUUACACAGACCUCCAGUCUCUGAAGCAUUCACUUCCAGAGCCACAAAUUACCAUGAAAAUACAUGUUCAAGCUAAGAUCUUUUAUUCACAAAACAGGAACUCAAGGCAAAAUUAUUUCAUUAGCUCUCUACCCUCAGUGCUUUUCAGACUCCUUGUUUCGGCUUUGAGGAAGGCAAAGGCAGUGAGUUACACACAGCACACAAAGUGUGGCUUGUAUGGAAAAAAAGUCCAAAAUGUGACCAACCAGGCAAGGUCUAGGUUCAUGGGGAUGCUUAAAAGUUCCCUGGGACACAAACUGCAUCACAUCUCUGCAGGGCAAGCUACACGCUUUUGUCAAAAUAUUUCCUGAGAAAACACCCUCCCACUGAAAGACAGCCUGAAACCGCUGCAGCCAAAUCCAUUUAGGGGACAGGACAGUCACAAGGCUACUCCUAGGAACCCCUUCAAGCUGAAGAUGAAAUGGCUGAAAUGAAGCCAUUUCUGACUGAAGGACACUAAGCCUUCUCAGAGGUGGGUGGGAUCACAGAACCACAGAAAAUCCUAUGUUGGAAGGGACCCACAAGGGUCACUGAAGUCCAACUUCUGGCCCUGGACGUUUAGUUAAGUUCCAGUUAAUGUUUUUAACACAGUCACAUAGAAACUUUGUAAUCUUUAGGAUGCUGAAAACUUAAAAUUUCCACUGACUGACGACAAUAAGCAUUAAUCCAUUCUUGAUGGUUAUUGCCAUAGUACUCUUCAGUAAACACUGACUUUGGAGGAUUUACAUGUAUUUAAAUAUUAUCCUUCUUUCUUCCUCCUUCCCCCCCCCCCACCCCCAUCUGGAAAGAAUUAUUCUGCAAGUCGAAUGACAAUCAUUUGAGUCAUACAAAACAACAUGAAACCAAGACUGUCAGUAGAUUUAUACCACAUCCUUUAGGAGUUUAGUUUAGUUUCACAUAGUGAAACAUGUAAUGGCUUUCAUAAUUUUCAACAGAUAACUUGAAAUUAGCCAUACCACAAACAGAGCAGUAGAUACACAGUUUCAAGUAACUCUAAACUGAUUUUUUUUCCUGUGCUAUGUUGAAAUAGAGUAUGCUACUUUAAGUAUAUUUAAACAUUCAGCUAUUUUAAGGGGUUUUCCCUGCUCCUGAGUACAGCAUUAUGCAAAAAUCAACAGAUAUAAGAUUAUCAUGAUCUAGAAGACACAGCACACUAGUCAUACAUGGUUGGCAUUAUUCGAGAUGUAAAUUUGGAACAAUAUUAAAAAUUAAUCUCCUUCUAUGGUGUUUAAUGCACAGUUUCCAAAACAAAUAAAUGAACCACUGCUUUUGUGUGUUGUCCCCACCACUUUUUUUUUUUUUAAACUAUAAUUUUUAUUUAAAUAAGACACAGGAACUUCUAUACCGAAAAAAAAAUACAAAACAAAAGCCACACAUUUCCUUGUGUAAAGCAAUAUUGUGUGAUAACUUGAAUACUGUUCAGCACAGUGGCUAGAAAUAACAGUACAACUAUGUACAAAACUUUAAACAAUAUUUGACAAAUUUCUACAGCUGGAUGUAGAAUACAAUUGAGAUAAACAACUGCUGGGAAAUUUACAUGGCAAAGCAUUAGCUUUAACACAUUUGGUUCAAAACCUUCAAUUCUGCUAAGAACAAAUGUGCAUUUUAAUUAAUAUUUAGUUUCUCAUGGAAAAAAUAUAAAGAACAUGUAAUGGCAUUGCAAAUAUUGUACAGAGUUCAGCACUGAUCUAAAAACCACUCAUCAUAUCCCCUGGUAACCUAACACCAAUAACUGAGACUACAAUUUCUUAUCUGGACAUAGCCAGAGCAUAAAAAGGUCAUCAUACUGCAAUGUUAGUCUAGAAAGAAAAAUAUUAAAAGGAAUCAAUACUUAGAUCACGAGUAUUUUCUCCCCUUUAUCUUCAGUCUAUAAAAUAUAUAGUGUUUUCACCUAGGCCUGAGAUUAGUAGGGUUAAAGAUGGCUGCUGUGUUUCAAUAAGCUUUUUCACAUGAAAAUGGUUAGAGACAGACCUCUAUCCUUCUAUGUUCUCUGCAAGGGGAGUCAAAAAAACAGUGGAUGUUUUAUAGGCUGUGAAUUCCACCUUGUAAGACAGCAUUAACAAAAACUCAGUAAUAAAAAGGAAGCAAUGCUUUGUCUCCAAAAAAGCACAUAUCUAGUGAGUAGUUACUGGUGGCUCACUCUCAUCCCCCUCCAAUCUCAUCUUCAAAAGCAGAAAAAAACAUACAAGAGCAUGUUUAAAUGCUCCUAGUAGCUGCAGGCUACUAAUCUCUUCAAUUCCUGGAAAUGGUGAACCUUAUUCUCUUAGGAGUAGACAGCAUACACACAGUUCCACCGAGCUGAAAGCAAUGGAGCAAGAACAUCAAGUUUAUUUUGCCUUUGGGGUCCUUUUGGUAUCACAGGAAAUUAUCUCUGAAAGCAAUGCUCCUCUUUUUCUAGUACAACAGAAGAGUGCCACAAACCCAAUCUUGCCAUGUACUAUUUCGAGACAGUGUCCAGCCUGCAAAACCAGGAUUAUUUUACAUGGAUUUUUCUUUUAUUUACACUUGAGGGGGGAAAACACACUUUUACACACACAGCUUAAGUAACUGAAAGUUAUGGGAGAAGCUUUAAGUAACAUGAACUUAAAACUAUUGUUUUCCCCACCCCUCUUAGAACACCCACUUGCUACUUCUGGACUUUCAUCCAAACACAAUUACUCACUACAUAAAUAAAACGCCGCUCAUCUAACACUGCUCAACAAAAUCUGAAAACCUAUUUCCAACCAGCAAAUGAAUGAACAUUUCCAAAAGAGAAACUAAACAUUAAUUUGACUUUUAGACGGUAACAGUAGCAUUUCACAUCCUUAACUGCCAACACAAACCAUGAGAGGAAAUCCCCAAUCACCCCCCCCCCCCCCCACCCCCGUGAAACCUAAAAAUUUCUGUCCUUUAACAAAAACAUUCUUGUAUUCUUGUCUUUCAAAAUCCUCUCACACACAAUGUGGAAUGUUUCUCAUGUACAGCCUAGUACUGAACACUUUAUUUGCAACAGUUUAACAGUCAUUAACUGAGCAACACCUGAAACCUUUAAAUGCCACAAUUUUACAUCUAUUGAAAUGACAGUAAAUGCAACAGUUGUUUUACUUGUAAGCACAUGACAAAGUGAUAUACAUCACAGAUUUGCUGGUUCUCCUCAUGUUCACCCAUGUCCAGGGUCACCAUUCACCUGGAUCUGAAUGCACUUAUUCCAAGAAAGUGGAAUGUAAUGAGGAAAUAUAAUGCAUAAAACAAGGAAAGGCAAAAGAGUGAUGUUCCCUCUUUAGCUUUGUAGCUGUAAAAUAUUUUAUAUUCCAAUAUGAUAUACAUUCCAAGUUACCUGAGUUUACACUUCAAGAGAAGUACCUGAAGCUAGGCCAUAGGGUGGGCACUGUGCAACUGCUGUGGCCAUUUUUUUUUUUUUUUUUUGCAUUGUGUGUAUUACAGAAGUUAGAAACAUAAACACCUGGAUCAAUU
This is a long non-coding RNA of Motacilla alba alba, 6750 nucleotides long. RefSeq lists it as uncharacterized. Lineage: Eukaryota; Metazoa; Chordata; Aves; Passeriformes; Motacillidae. The transcript is spliced from 2 exons. The record is from RefSeq and is a predicted model, not a curated record.